GCAGAGACUGACGCCCUGAAGCAGCUAAGGAAUCACCCAAAGGGGUACACAAAAGAAGGAAGAAAAUUAACACUGCUGCAAAGAAAGCUGCUGAUACUAAAUCAAGAAGACGCCACUGUCGAACAUUUCUCUUUGACGAUGGUAGAUUCAAGUGACCCAUUUUCACUAGUAGCAGUUAAUAAUAGAAACCUCAAGAUCCAACCGCGCACACUGACAAGCACAGAAAUUUAUGCAUGCGAGAUGGAAAUUCGAAGAUCUGAAGCAUAGUUAAUAAGAGAAACCUCAAGAUCCAACCGCGCACACACUGACACACACAGAAAUUUAUGCAUGCGAGAUGGAGAUUCGAAGAUCUGAAGCAUAUGUUGAAGUAGAUUUGUACUGCUUUUAGAAGUGAGUUUGUGGUUUAAAGGAGCUCGCGAGGAGACAGAGAGAGAGAGAGGGGAUAUUUUUAUUCUUUUAAAAUUCAGAUAUUUUUUAUGAGUUAAGAAGAACUAAAGAGUAAUUUUCUAGGGCAUUUUCUU
This 521-nucleotide long non-coding RNA is filed under the name Nicotiana benthamiana. Its description in RNAcentral is "long non-coding RNA (NBEN_LNC017561)". The record is from RNAcentral. Lineage: Eukaryota; Viridiplantae; Streptophyta; Magnoliopsida; Solanales; Solanaceae.